This 79-nucleotide transfer RNA is filed under the name Candidatus Aenigmatarchaeota archaeon. RNAcentral describes it as "tRNA-Met". The stretch from base 1 to 56 matches the Rfam family "tRNA". From Rfam's summary of the family: Transfer RNA (tRNA) molecules are approximately 80 nucleotides in length. The record is from RNAcentral. Lineage: Archaea; Nanobdellati; Candidatus Aenigmatarchaeota.
GCCGGUGUAGCUCAGUUGGUUAGAGCGCCACGCUCAUAACGUGGAGGUCACGGGUUCGAAGCAAAAAGGGACACAGGAG